RNAcentral lists this unclassified non-coding RNA (2986 nucleotides) under Megachile rotundata (alfalfa leafcutting bee). RNAcentral's name for it is "probable G-protein coupled receptor B0563.6, transcript variant X3". Lineage: Eukaryota; Metazoa; Arthropoda; Insecta; Hymenoptera; Megachilidae. The record is from RNAcentral.
GCAACAUACUUUUGCUCUCGCUUCGUUUUGCGAUAGAUAUUUUUCUCGGACUCGAUAUCCGAAACACGUUUUCGAUGGUCGCUGAAAAAGAAUGUUUUGUUCGUAGGUAAAUGCUCGGGAAUCGACUGGUCAAAUUGUCCAGAAGAGCACGUUCGGAUUCUUCGGUAAAAUAAAAACGAAAGCGAACUCUCAAACGUUCCUCGGAGACAACCGAUCGACGAACAGCGAUCCGUCAGGAUUUUUCGAUCGCCCAUACUACGGUAAUAAACGUGAAGCGAGCGUUGCACCUGUUGCGUCGCGAACGGCUUUGCUGGUAAUCCGGCGAGAUCGUUCGUUCGAAAACGGCUUAAGCGUCGCGUGGGAGUACAAAGGAGUGCCCGAUAACACUGGAGCAACGAGAGAGCAGCGGAAAACGCGGUGACGACAGGCGUUGCUUUCGCGGCACGUGAGAUCAAACGGAUACUUCGAUUCGCAACCGGAAAAGGUGUAAAACCGCGGCAGAAAGAAAAGAAUAGAGAGCGAGGGGACAGACAAGAUGAUGAUGGACGCGGCGAACGGAACGAAAACGGAAUCGUGCUUUCGGCUGGAAGAUCUGGAGGAUCCUCGAACGCCGUUUCUGCGACGAAUCAGCUACGGCAUUAUCCUGCCUGCCAUCUGUUGCUUGGGAAUCGUUGGGAAUAUUUUAAACUUGGUCGUCCUUACCAGACGCAACAUGCAAGGAACCGUUUACAUCUACAUGAGAGGUUACUCGGCAGCGGCGCUUCUCGCGAUUUUUUUCUGCAUCCCUUUCGCGCUGAGGGUUCUUAUUCACCAGGAAACAGGCCAAUGGAGUAAUUGGCCUCAAGCCUUUUACCAUGCUCAUCUCGAGCUUUUCCUCGGAAACGGUUGUUUAGGAGUCGGAGUGAUGAUGUUGCUGGCGUUAACCGUGGAGCGUUACGUUAGCGUUUGCCGGCCUGGUCAGCACACUCGUCCACUCUGCGGUCCUCCACAUUUAACGGUGGCCGUCAUUUCCUUGGCAACGUUUAUCGUUUAUCUGCCGAGCGCGUUCCGAGCGCAAAUUACGACCUGUCUCCUCGAACCUGGAGGCCCCGUCGUUUAUCAAAAGAGGGAAAACCAAUUGUACCUCGACUCGAUGUUUCAUCAAGUGUACAAAGUGGUGCUGGAGAUCAUUUUCAAAGUGGUGCCAGCGAUUCUAUUGGCUGGCUUCAAUCUCCGCAUCAUGGUAGCCUACAGAAGAUCUUGCGAGCGUCGCCGACGAACGACUCUAGCCAGGACUGCCAGCAACGGCGUGGACUCGAGGACGUUCGCGGAGGAACGGAGGCUGGUCCUGUUGUUGGGCAGCACUAACAUCUUAUUCGUCGUUUGCGUCAGUCCCAUGGUAAUUCUCAACAUCACCUUACGGGAGAGUAAUCUCAAUAAUUACGCUUAUCAGGUGUUCCGUGCAAUAGCAAACUUUUUGGAGGUAAUCAAUUAUUCCAUCACGUUCUAUAUCUACUGUUGGUUCUCGGAAGAUUUCCGAAACACGUUGAUUCGCACGUUGCAAUGGCCUUGGGGGAAGAGCAGCAAGGGAAGAAGAGGACUUCCAAUUAAACGUUCUCCUCUGCCUCAGGCAACCAUCACCACUGCAACAAUAACCGACGCGACUCCUGGACAUUUCACGCGUGCCAACUUUUAGUUUCCGGCAAACGCGUGAAAAAGGUUACAAGGCGCCAGAUUGAUCUCUGCCUUUUUAACUUUGCAGAGUUCAAAGAGAAACGUUCGCCUAGUCGUAGAUAGUUGGAAAACGAGUAGAGGUUUUUGUCCAAUUUCUUUCGCGGACGAUCGCAAAGGUUACUUCAGUGUGUAGCAUGAAUUUAUGUACUUCCUCCAGACACGUUUUACCGUAACACGAUAUCGAACAGAAGGCUAGACGCGGAACUACGAUUACGAUAUCUCCACAAAUAUUGACGCGUUUUAUGGAUCGGUCAGCAAUAUUUGGUCCUCGCGAUAUCGGGCAAACGUUCCUCACACGAAAACGUUCCAAGAGCUAUGUACGUGAUUUUCGGCGAGGUCCUCUUCGACGUUGUAAAUAUUCCUGUGUAACGCGUGGGAACUUUGUCGGUGAAUGCGAAAUCGCGAGGACAACGAAGAUGAUCGUAAUCCUGUUUCGCGGUGCUUUCGAGUUAACUUUCAUCGUUGCCGAAUUAGAAAUUAUCUGAAGAUGAAAGAUUCGAGAAUACUGCCUCGUUUUUCGAGAAUACUGCCUCGUUUUUCGAGAAUACUGCCUCCUUCCUAGCUGUGAAAAACACGUUGACAAAUAUGUACCGAAGCCGCGCCAGAGGAGAUCGUUUCGCGAUUUUCGACGCAAAACACGUUCGUUUCGAAAGAGCUACGACACACGAACGAAACAAACUCGCGGAAAAUUUUAGAACCGAUUUGAAGAAAUGUGAAGGACAAUAAGAUUUACAAUUAGUCGCACGCGCGCGAUUCUUAAUAUUCUUAAUAUUCUUAAUGCGAUGAAAAUUCUUGGAAUAUCGAACGAAUCUUUUAACUUUUAAACAUAGACGGAAUCUAUUGCGUCUCUAAUUCGAGCGACGAUUUAAUUUUUCACCGAUAUGAGUAUCGGGUAUUCGUCUAAAACUGCUCGCAUCUCGCAGAUCGGACGAAUGGUAGCCUUCACACCGACAAUCUUUCAUUAAAAUUCAUUUCGUGUAGAGCGAAAACGCGAACAGUAGAUGAUACGAAUUUGGCGAAAACCGCGAACUCGGUAAUCUCGAAUCUCGAGUUUCGUAUGGGCUUGGUACCUACACGUUAACCUUUUACGCUUUGACUGCCAACUUGGACGAGUUUAAGAGUUAAUUGAUAACGCGAAUUCAAUAAAUGUUUGUAUUAUUUAUGCUUCUUUAAAGGAGGUAAUACUGUACUCCGUCUACCAGUCGUUGUAUGAAUUCAUGUACUCUUUGUUCCGUGUUAAAUUGUGCAAUCUUCAAUAAAGUGAUUGUGACUG